Molecule: long non-coding RNA, 1871 nt
Filed under: Sus scrofa (pig)
Lineage: Eukaryota; Metazoa; Chordata; Mammalia; Artiodactyla; Suidae
Description: lncRNA (ENSSSCG00030005927.1)
Source: RNAcentral
AUGAAAGGAAAUUUGCCUGGCGACCAGAUAAACUUGGCACUGUUACUAGACCAUGAGAAACGUGAGGGUGUGAAUUUCGUCAGCCUGCUUAUCCUCGGCUUCCUCGUGAAGCACCUCUUCUCAUGCUCCUUCGGUUCCCCACAACCACCAUUCCUACCCAAAGGCCAGACGGGGUGUGGCCAGUCAUUUCAGCUGGUCGGACUUAUGAUGGAGAAGGGAUGUUUUAUGUGUUGGGGUGGGAGAAAGUGCUGGUCCCCUCUUUUGGAUGCUGCUUCUAAAAGGAUGGCUGAGGAGUUCCUGUCAUGGCUCAGCGGAAACAAAUCCAACUAGCAUCCACGAGGAUGCGGGUUUGAUCCCUGGCCUUGCUCUGUAGGUUAAGGAUCUAAGUUGCUGUGAGCUGUGCUGGCGGUCAGCAGCUGUAGCUCUCGUUCAACUGCUAGCCUGGGAACUUCCAUAUGCUGCAGAUGCAGCCCUAAAAAGCCCCCCCCCCCCCGCAAAAAAAAGGAUGGCUGCAUGAAAAUAGCCCCUCCAGAUCUGGCCUCAGAGUGAACCUCUACAGAUGUGAGAUAUAGUCUUGCUGGUAAUGAAUGUCUCUCCUGCAACACAGUCUGCUGUCAGGGCUACUGUCUCUUUUCUCCACCUUGUCAAAGACCCUAGUAUAUUUUCUUUGCUUCUGGUCAAGACCCCAGACAAAUUAUCCUAUUAAACAAAUCAUUACCAAAGAUGUGAUAAGAGCCCUAAUAACAAAUCAUUACCAAAGAUGUGAUAAGAGCCCUAAUAGUGGUAGGUGCCAGACGAAGCGGAGGCAUACAAGUAGGUGUUGUUAAUUCUCACUAGGGAGGAGGACAGGGUUGAUAUCUGAAAAAGAGUUUUCUUUUGAGAAGAAGUUGUUUUUUUAACUUAUUAAACAGAACUUUUUUUUUUUUUUUUGUCCUUUUUAGGGCCGCACCUGAGGCAUAUGGAAGUUACCAGGCUAGGGGUCAAAGUGGAGCUGCAGCUGCUCGCCUACACCAUGGCCACAGCAACACGGGUUGUGAGCUUUGUCUGCGACCUACAUCACAGCUCAGGGCAACGCUGGAUCCUUAACCCACUGAGGGAGGCCAGGAAUGGAACCUGCAUCCUCAUGGGUACUAGUUAGGUUGGUUACCACUGUACCACCCCGGGAACUCCCAGAACUUGAUUUUUAAAUUGUAGUAAAAUACACAUAACAUUUACCCUCUUAACCACUUUUAAGUGUCCACUUUGGUGGCAUUAAAUAUAUUCACAUUGUAACCAACCUCCAGAACUUUCUCACCUUGCAAAACUGAGGCUGUAUACACACCAAACAGCUCCCCAACUCUCCAGCUCCCUACCCGCUGGCAACCACCUUUGCUGAGUGGCUGUCUGAGUUUGACUGCUCUAGAUACCUCAUAAAUGUGACAUCAUACAUGUUUGUCUUUUUGCCACUGGUUUAUAUCUCUUAGCAUGAUGUCAAGUUUCAUGUAUCCUGUAGCAUGUGUCAGAAUUUCCUUCCUUUUAAAGACCAAAUAAUAUUCCACUGUGUAUAUAUACUACAUGUUGCUUAUCCAUUCACCCAUCAAUGGACAUUUGGGUUGCUUCUGCCUUUUGGCUAUUGUGACGAAUGCUGCUACAAACAUAGGUGUGCAAUUAUAUCUGCUUUUAAUUGUUCUGGAUAUAUACCUAGAAACAGUAUUGCCGAUUUUAUGGUAAUUUUCUACUUUUGACUUUUUGUGGACAUUCCAUACUCGUUCCAGUAUCAUUGUACAUUCCCACCUACAGUGCCCAAGGGUUCCAAUUUCUCCACAUCCUCACUAAUACUUGUUAUUCUCUCUCUCUCUUUUUUUUUUUUUUUUUUUUUUUUUUUUUUUUUG